GGCAAUAUCAAAGUUAGCCUUCAAAAUGAAGGUCCUUUUUCUAGGUUUCACCAGCAGUGAGUACAAGAUUAGAUUCUUUGACCGCUGGCUCUAGCAGGAGCGGAGGUCUCAAUUUUACCGCCUUUACCCUGCCCACAAGCCCCUUUCCGGGACAACCCUGAAACCUAGUGCACAGGUGGAGGAAGUCAGACUGAGGGUGGAGAUUGACUGAACAGAUGGAACAGAAAUUAAGCACAUUUGAUAUCAGGGUUAUUUGCCAUCCUGAGCAGCUUGCAUGCUUUUCCCAGACCAAUACCAUACAGAGACUGCAAGUAGUCACAGCCAGAGAGGAUGCACAUAUAUCGAAACUUCUCCUCUGUGAAGAUGUUGCCAAGAGAUUUGCAUCGGCCCAGAGUUCUUACUCUCGCCGGGACUUCUCCACUUCCUGUUUGGAGGGCAAGUUACGACCAUCAAACACCAAGAUAGGUUUAACACCAAAAGAAAGCAGCAUGUCCACAAACUUCAUACAGUAGGAGACAUACCUGAUGGACACAGAAUAUGAGCAUGAAGAAUGAAAAAUGGUGUUAGGCAUAUAUGCUAUGUUUACAUGAUUUUGUUGCAAUCAAAAAUAAACAUUGGUACAUGCAAA
Molecule: long non-coding RNA, 628 nt
Filed under: Danio rerio (zebrafish)
Lineage: Eukaryota; Metazoa; Chordata; Actinopteri; Cypriniformes; Danionidae
Description: si:ch211-125o16.5 (ENSDARG00000096871.2)
Source: RNAcentral